AGUGACACAAACUGGAUGUAUGCGUAUAAAAGUGUUUUUUAUUGUAACAGUGGGUGUUAACAGGAAGCUUUUACAAUCAUUAAUACAAAAAGGAUAUCAACAAUUAAGGCAACUUGGUUUCUCAGACCUAAGUUCUCUACAAUAGCAUCUUAGUUAAAUAAAUGGAGACUAAAUAUAUUGAAAUGAUUCAAAUUCUAAUUUCACAAUCUUUUUUGUUUGUAUCCUGUUACAUUCAGUAUCUUAAGUAUGAGGUUACAAAAUAACCAUAAUGUCUGUAAGGCAUAUUUAUCUUUACGUCGAGUGAAAUGUGUAGAAAUAUGUUGAUCCAAAAAACACAGUAGUCAGUUUAUUUUAUUUUUACUGGUUGUUUUGGUCUUUUCAAGUUUCUGCCAGAUGGUAAAAACCUACUGAGGAAUAAAAAAAUUUGUUAACUUAAUAAUCAAACCUGUUUGGCAGCUUUAGGCUUUAGAAAACAGAAAAAAAAAUCAUAUUGUCCUAAUAUAUUGUCAAAUGAACAGCAACAUAUGUUACAAUUACCUUUUUCACCAUUAUUUAUAUAAUUGGUUUUUCAGGUCAUAGUUUCGGAGGAAGCAUCCAGUUACUGCUAAAGACUAAAUCUGUCAGUUAUGUCAAUUUGAAAUAGAUUGUAAAGCUACUUUCAAAUCAUUUUGAGUCCAUCAAAUCAAAACUUAUUUGCAGAGGAGAACAUCACUUAUUCUGCAUCACAGUGCACUUUGAAGAGUACUUAAUUAGUACCUAUGCAAUAAAAUAAAUGAAGAUGUAUCUCAGGGUUUUCUAGAUGCUUAUUGUUAAAGGUCUAAGGACGAUUAAACAAAAUAAGAAAAUACUGUUUGUUUAGAAGAAAUGUUAAAAGUUCCUUAAACUCGGCUGGCAGUAAAGCUUAAACUUAUACAACUUAAUCUGAGUUUCUGGAACAAACUAUGCAAAGAACAAAACAGAAAUAGAAAGAUUUUGCCAUGACGAUUUUUGAAAACCAAUACCAGCACAAACAGAAGGUAUUGACUGUCAAACAAGUUGGCAGAGGGUGAUGAAACGGACUCGGGUUGCAGCCACAAGAAUUGUUCAUUUGAAAAGGAACUCUGCAGCCAAAAUGUCAAGAGAGUCAAAGCUUGGAUUAAACUGUGUCAUGCAACAUAACUAGGAGGUAAACACAGCAAUGAAUCUACAAGGGAAUGGGUGAAAAAGAAAAGAAGAAACAUGCUGCAAUGCAAUUUUUAACACCUGAAUCCCAAAUGGAUGAACAUUUCACACGAGUACUGUCAGAUAAGUCAGAUCUACUACAACUGUAGAUACAUUUUCAAAAUAAAAACAAAGAAAAUAUUCAGUCAAUGAUAAAUGCACUGAAAUAGGACUAAGAUUUACAGCUAAAUGUUUAACAAGGUCUAAUUCCAAACUUUAAAUUUAAUCUUAGAUUUAUAUAAGUUAAUUCUGUCUAUUUACCUUAGAAAUAAUAUCCAGAACAAACAAGCAAUGAGGGCAAAGUAAAAGUGAAGGCCUCAAUAGAGAAAACAAUUGGAUUUUGCUAUUGUCUGAAGUUCUUUUAGAAAAAAAAAUAUUUUCUGUUGUGUUUAAUUGAUAUCAAAAGUUUGGCUAUUAAGAAAACUGUUGAGCAAGAAAACUGGGUUAAAAACCUUUUUGUGCAGCAAAACACUUCUUUUCUUUUCAGAUGAAAAGAUUCAAGCACAUUUGAAACUGAAAAAUACAUACAAAGUCUUUCCAGUCAACAAAAAAAGCGGACAGAUAUAAAUCCUUAGGCAUCUCCAAUGAAUGCGUUAAAUAUUUGAUAUACAGAGUUUGUAGGUGACAUAAAUACAUUAGUAGUAGAAUAAAAUAAAGACAAUAAAAUCUCAACACUAAAAAGGCAGUCCAGGGUUGCAGUAAAGGUGACAGGUGCAUGCAAAAUGAAAAAUGAAA
This is a long non-coding RNA of Poecilia latipinna (sailfin molly), 1935 nucleotides long. RefSeq lists it as uncharacterized. The transcript has 2 exons. NCBI's taxonomy places the organism in Eukaryota, Metazoa, Chordata, Actinopteri, Cyprinodontiformes, Poeciliidae. The record is from RefSeq and is a predicted model, not a curated record.